RNAcentral lists this ribosomal RNA (173 nucleotides) under uncultured bacterium. RNAcentral describes it as "partial 16S ribosomal RNA". It matches the Rfam family "Eukaryotic small subunit ribosomal RNA", at positions 412 to 586 of the family's 1831-position model. The record is from RNAcentral.
AUCCUACGGGAGGCAGCAGGCGCGCAAAUUACCCAAUCCUGACACAGGGAGGUAGUGACAGUAAAUAACAAUGCAGGGCUCUUCGAGUCUUGCAGUUGGAAUGAGUACAAUUUAAACCCCUUAACGAGUAACAAUUGGAGGGCAAGUCUGGUGCCAGCAGCCGCGGUAAUAAU